GGGUGCUAAGCUGGAGAUCUAUGGUAAAUUCAACUUCUCGAUCUACUAGCAGUCUUGGUAGUUCAUUAGAGAAUACGUCCGAAAAAUCUCGGACAAUAGGAAUAUCUUGAAUACAAUUCUUUUUCUUAAGCUUGCCUAACAUGACAAAGAAUUACUGAGUUAAGGCAUUUGAUAAAGAAUGUAGUUACCAUGUGUGAAUAAUAUCUAAAACUUUUAUUAAUUUGUGAAAGACUCUUUGUUAAGAAUAUUGAAUACAAACUUCUUAUGAACACAGUUUACAGUGACUUGAUACGCUGUUAACCAGUUCAUUAUCAGAAUUAUAUCAAAAUUUCCUGUGUCAAGUGCUAUUAAAUCUAUGCUCAAUU
This 365-nucleotide long non-coding RNA is filed under the name Carica papaya (papaya). Its description in RNAcentral is "long non-coding RNA (CPAP_LNC007756)". Lineage: Eukaryota; Viridiplantae; Streptophyta; Magnoliopsida; Brassicales; Caricaceae. The record is from RNAcentral.